UACGAAGGGGGCUAGCGUUGUUCGGAAUUACUGGGCGUAAAGCGCGCGCAGGCGGUUCUUUAAGUCAGGGGUGAAAGCCCAGAGCUCAACUCUGGAAUUGCCUUUGAAACUAGAGAACUAGAGUACGGGAGAGGUGAGUGGAAUUCCGAGCGUAGAGGUGAAAUUCGUAGAUAUUCGGAAGAACACCGGUGGCGAAGGCGGCUCACUGGCCCGUUACUGACGCUCAGGCGCGACAGCGUGGGGAGCAAACAGG
This 253-nucleotide ribosomal RNA is filed under the name uncultured bacterium. RNAcentral's name for it is "partial 16S ribosomal RNA". It matches the Rfam family "Bacterial small subunit ribosomal RNA", at positions 524 to 776 of the family's 1533-position model. The record is from RNAcentral.